CAAAGGUUUGGUCCUAGCCUUUCUAUUAACUCUUAGUAGGAUUACACAUGCAAGUAUCCGCACUCCAGUGAAGAUGCCCUUCAAAUCAUUGAUGAUAAAAAGGAGCAGGUAUCAAGCACACAAACAAAUGUAGCUUAAAACGCCUUGCCCAGCCACACCCCCACGGGAUACAGCAGUGAUAAAAAUUAAGCCAUGAACGAAAGUUCGACUAAGCCAUACUAAUUUAAGGGUUGGUAAAUUUCGUGCCAGCCACCGCGGUCAUACGAUUAACCCAAGUUAAUAGACACACGGCGUAAAGCGUGUUAAGGAAAACAUCACACAAUAAAGUUAAAUCUAAGCUAUGCUGUAAAAAGCCUGAGACAAGACAAAAAUAAACUACGAAAGUGACUUUAAUAUUCCGACCACACGAUAGCUAAGAAACAAACUGGGAUUAGAUACCCCACUAUGCUUAGCCCUAAACCAAGGUAGUAAAAAUAACAAAACUACUCGCCAGAGUACUACUAGCAACAGCCUAAAACUCAAAGGACUUGGCGGUGCUUUAUAUCCACCUAGAGGAGCCUGUUCUGUAAUCGAUAAACCCCGAUAAACCUCACCAGCCCUUGCUCAAAACAGCCUAUAUACCGCCAUCUUCAGCAAACCCUAAAAAGGAGACACAGUAAGCAUAACCAUAGGACAUGAAUACGUUAGGUCAAGGUGUAGCCUAUGGGUUGGAUAGAAAUGGGCUACAUUUUCUAACAUAGAAUACACACGGAAAUUCUUGUGAAACCGAGAAUGGAAGGAGGAUUUAGUAGUAAAUUAAGAAUAGAGAGCUUAAUUGAAUAAGGCCAUGAAGCACGCACACACCGCCCGUCACCCUCCUCAAGUACAAAGUACAAAACCAACCCUAUUAACAAACGUACAAGCAUAUUAGAGGAGACAAGUCGUAACAAGGUAAGCGUACUGGAAAGUGCGCUUGGAUAUAU
RNAcentral lists this non-coding RNA (962 nucleotides) under Balionycteris maculata (spotted-winged fruit bat). RNAcentral describes it as "12S ribosomal RNA". It matches the Rfam family "Bacterial small subunit ribosomal RNA". Lineage: Eukaryota; Metazoa; Chordata; Mammalia; Chiroptera; Pteropodidae. The record is from RNAcentral.